This 468-nucleotide ribosomal RNA is filed under the name uncultured bacterium. RNAcentral's name for it is "partial 16S ribosomal RNA". It matches the Rfam family "Bacterial small subunit ribosomal RNA", at positions 28 to 507 of the family's 1533-position model. The record is from RNAcentral.
GAUGAACGCUGGCGGCGUGCUUAACACAUGCAAGUCGAACGGAAAGGCCGAAGCUUGCUUCGGUACUCGAGUGGCGAACGGGUGAGUAACACGUGGGUGAUCUGCCCUGUACUUCGGGAUAAGCUUGGGAAACUGGGUCUAAUACCGGAUAUGACGAUCUCUUGGAUGGGGUUGUGGAAAGCUUUUGCGGUAUGGGAUGAGCGCGCGGCCUAUCAGCUUGUUGGUGGGGUAAUGGCCUACCAAGGCGUCGACGGGUAGCCGGCCUGAGAGGGUGUACGGCCACAUUGGGACUGAGAUACGGCCCAGACUCCUACGGGAGGCAGCAGUGGGGAAUAUUGCACAAUGGGCGCAAGCCUGAUGCAGCGACGCCGCGUGGGGGAUGACGGCCUUCGGGUUGUAAACUCCUUUCGCAAUCGACGAAGCCUUUUGGUGACGGUAGGUUGAGAAGAAGCACCGGCUAACUACGUG